Manis pentadactyla (Chinese pangolin) is the source of this 944-nucleotide long non-coding RNA. RefSeq lists it as uncharacterized. The record is from RefSeq and is a predicted model, not a curated record. NCBI's taxonomy places the organism in Eukaryota, Metazoa, Chordata, Mammalia, Pholidota, Manidae. The transcript has 3 exons.
UGUAAAAUAGCAGGGUAACUGAUGACAAGCAGCCCAAGGAAUCCCGGCCAGACGCAAACAGCGUCCCUGGUUGAUUGGUGAUCGUGAUGCCUCACUCCACAGAGUCAGCACGGCAGCCACGCUGCUGUUCCAAGUGGCGGGAAGCAGGAGCGGGGCUGGGGUUCACGCUCCGCGGGAGUGCGGGGGAAGCCAUCAGGGUGAACAGUCAGCGUCCUGGGCCUCAGCCCUAAGCGAGUUUCACUCACUCGGCGAGUCUGGGGCUGUGUCCUGAACCCGCCUUUGUAACCUGCAUUUCAGGUGAUUGCUGGACCGGCGAUCUGCAGUCUUGUGUUUUGAAAAGCAGUUCCUGGAAUUCCUGCUACUGUGUCCCUGCUCCAAAGACUCGCCUGUGAACACCCAGUGGACGCCAGGUUUUGGCAGGUUUUUGGUUAUUUGCUCAGCCCUCAAAGCCCCAAAUACCCUCACAUCAGCUGCUCACCUGCUGCGGUUCAACUGCCCAACAACAGUCUCUCGCGUUGGCUAUGCCAGCCCGGACCCUCUCCCUGGGAUCACACAGUACCCACCACCGGGGGUGUCCAGUGUCCAGUGGGUCCUUCCUGCACAGAAACAAACCCAGAGGCUAUGCAGGCCGACCCUCCCGGUGCCCCUCUGUGCGGAGCGCUGAUCCUCCCGGUUCCCCGCGGGCCGCGCGGGUCACACUUGGAAGGCCGUCUGCCAGUCACGCCCAUGGGCGACGCCGGAAGGCCUUUGUGCAGCGGUGUGUCCAGGGGCCCAGGCCUUGGGGUGCGGCUCCCGGCUGGCAGCAACGACGGGGCGCAGCGCCGUGACAAGCCCGGGCGCCCCGAGCCUCUCUCCUUGGAGCCGCCUUGGGCCACGACGACACUCUGAGUCCGUGGCCUGGGAAACCUGGGUCCCCAGCACGUCGGCGGGAGCAGAGCUUGGUU